GACGAACGCUGGCGGCGUGCCUAAUACAUGCAAGUAGAACGCUGAAGGAGGAGCUUGCUUCUCUGGAUGAGUUGCGAACGGGUGAGUAACGCGUAGGUAACCUGCCUGGUAGCGGGGGAUAACUAUUGGAAACGAUAGCUAAUACCGCAUAAGAGUAGAUGUUGCAUGACAUUUGCUUAAAAGGUGCAAUUGCAUCACUACCAGAUGGACCUGCGUUGUAUUAGCUAGUUGGUGGGGUAACGGCUUACCAAGGCGACGAUACAUAGCCGACCUGAGAGGGUGAUCGGCCACACUGGGACUGAGACACGGCCCAGACUCCUACGGGAGGCAGCAGUAGGGAAUCUUCGGCAAUGGACGGAAGUCCGACCGAGCAACGCCGCGUGAGUGAAGAAGGUUUUCGGAUCGUAAAGCUCUGUUGUAAGAGAAGAACGAGUGUGAGAGUGGAAAGUUCACACUGUGACGGUAUCUUACCAGAAAGGGACGGCUAACUACGUG
Molecule: ribosomal RNA, 495 nt
Filed under: uncultured bacterium
Lineage: Bacteria
Description: partial 16S ribosomal RNA
Rfam family: Bacterial small subunit ribosomal RNA
Source: RNAcentral